UAGAAAUGUUGCUGGGAAAUCAUU
RNAcentral lists this non-coding RNA (24 nucleotides) under Rattus norvegicus (Norway rat). Lineage: Eukaryota; Metazoa; Chordata; Mammalia; Rodentia; Muridae. The record is from RNAcentral.